AACGAAGUGAAUUGAAACAUCUUAGUAGCUUUAGGAAAAGAAAUCAAACGAGAUUCUACGAUUAGUGUGAAUUAAAGUAGA
Molecule: ribosomal RNA, 81 nt
Organism: Pseudogymnoascus pannorum
Lineage: Eukaryota; Fungi; Ascomycota; Leotiomycetes; Thelebolales; Thelebolaceae
Rfam family: Archaeal large subunit ribosomal RNA
Source: Rfam